AUGUGAUGCCAGUUAGCAGACCUUAAAAUUGAUCCCAGCUCUAAUGCAAGUCCUAGUCCUACAAGUCCCACUCCCAACAUGAGUUCCACUCCUGAAGCUAGUCCUUGGAGUUGAUCCCAGCUCUGAUGCAAGUCCUAGUCCUACAAGUCCCACUCCCAACAUGAAUUCCACUCCUGACGCGAGUCCUAGUCGUGCGAGUCCCAGUUCCACAAGUUCCACUCUCG
RNAcentral lists this long non-coding RNA (224 nucleotides) under Physcomitrium patens. RNAcentral describes it as "long non-coding RNA (PPAT_LNC014853)". The record is from RNAcentral. Lineage: Eukaryota; Viridiplantae; Streptophyta; Bryopsida; Funariales; Funariaceae.